UUUAUCCGGGCUCAGGAUGAACGCGGGCGGCGUGCUUAACACAUGCAAGUCGAACGAUGAUCUCCAGCCUGCUGGGGGGAUUAGUGGCGAACGGGUGAGUAACACGUGAGUAACCUGCCCUUAACUCUGGGAUAAGCCUGGGAAACUGGGUCUAAUACCGGAUAUGACUCCUCAUCGCAUGGUGGGGGGUGGAAAGCUUUUUGUGGUUUUGGAUGGACUCGCGGCCUAUCAGCUUGUUGGUGAGGUAAUGGCUCACCAAGGCGACGACGGGUAGCCGGCCUGAGAGGGUGACCGGCCACACUGGGACUGAGACACGGCCCAGACUCCUACGGGAGGCAGCAGUGGGGAAUAUUGCACAAUGGGCGAAAGCCUGAUGCAGCGACGCCGCGUGAGGGAUGACGGCCUUCGGGUUGUAA
This 416-nucleotide ribosomal RNA is filed under the name Arthrobacter sp. 010-3.1-CV-A-10. Its description in RNAcentral is "bacterial SSU rRNA". It matches the Rfam family "Bacterial small subunit ribosomal RNA", at positions 13 to 428 of the family's 1533-position model. The record is from RNAcentral. Lineage: Bacteria; Bacillati; Actinomycetota; Actinomycetes; Micrococcales; Micrococcaceae.